Molecule: transfer RNA, 124 nt
Filed under: Sorangium cellulosum So ce56
Lineage: Bacteria; Pseudomonadati; Myxococcota; Polyangiales; Polyangiaceae
Also listed under: 1 other name
Description: tRNA-Und (NNN) (tRNA-Und-NNN-1-1)
Rfam family: tRNA
About the family: Transfer RNA (tRNA) molecules are approximately 80 nucleotides in length. Their secondary structure includes four short double-helical elements and three loops (D, anti-codon, and T loops).
Source: Rfam by way of RNAcentral
GCCGCCGUAGCUCAGCCUGGUAGAGCACCUGACAUUCCGCUCUCCACCCGUUUGCCCGAUCCGGGCCGAAGGAGGACGGUUACCAUCCAUCUGGAUGACGCGGGUUCGAAUCCCGUCGGCGGCG